UGCAUCAAAUCAUGCAUUUUACAGGUUUCUAUAUUACUCUGUCUAUCUCUCACAUCAUCUUGGAAAAAAUACAUAGAAAGAAGAUUCUUAAAAUAUGAAAAACCAAUUUCUUCAAAACUUUGACUAGAAUUUGAGGAAUCAAGAUACCCUUGUGCCAUCCAAAGAUAUAUCAAAUUUCCCAUAUCAAUUUCACAAUCUUUAGGAAAAAUGGCACAAUAAGCAAAGCAAUGUUUCAAGUGAGAUGGAAGAUGAUCAUAACUCAAAUUAAGAGUUGACAAGAUAUUAUCUUCUUGCAUUUUUGAGAGUUCAUAUUCUUUGAAGGAUUGCCACUCCGACUCAGUAUUUUUACAAUAUAACAAAGCUCUUAUUGAUUUUAUACCUGAAGGAAGCCUUACACACUUUGCUACAAUCUCCUGCCCAAGUGCCUCUUGGCUCAAGCUUGUUUCUGCCUUUGAUCAAAUGCUAUUUUUUUGAACAAUGACCAAGACUCAGCAGGAGAUAGGCCCUUCAAUUCAUAAAUUGAAGAUGAACGUGUCCUUUCAGCAACUGUUUUGGAACGUGUGGUAAUUAUUAUUUUACUUUCUUUUGCACUUGCUACUAAUACGUCCCCUAAGCUAAGCCAUUUUUGUGCAUCCUCAUUCCACACAUCAUCCAAUACAAUGACAUAAUUUUUACCAUUAAUCUUUGCAUGAAGUUUGUUUUUCAGUGCAUCCACCCCAAGAUCAUCAGGUCUCUCACCAGUCAUAGAGCCUAAAAUUUUUUCAAUUAUGAGUUUAACAUCAAAAUUUUCAGACACACAAACCCAUCCUUCUAACUCAAAACAUGUUUUAACUCUUUCAUCGUUAUAAACAAUCUGAGCUAGUUGGUUUUUCCUAAGCCUCCAAUUCCUACUAUUGAAAUUACUGAUAAAUUCUCUUCCUGAUUAGAGCACAAUAAAAGAUCUAAAAUUGCAUUUUUGUCAUCUUCUCUACCAACAACAAUUUCUGGCAACGAAGAAUGAGUUUGCUCCCUUUCUCAAAUCAUUAGAGAAUUCUCCACUGGGCAUUCAUCUAAGUGAAACCCCCUAUCCUCUUUAAUAUUUUCUAGCGUUUCUCUAAUGUUCUUAAUCUUAUGAGCCAUUUUAAG
RNAcentral lists this unclassified non-coding RNA (1125 nucleotides) under Hevea brasiliensis (rubber tree). Lineage: Eukaryota; Viridiplantae; Streptophyta; Magnoliopsida; Malpighiales; Euphorbiaceae. The record is from RNAcentral.